CCACUCCGAACAGAGGGGAAUAGUGGGAAUCCCUUUAACCCGAGAGCAGCGUUUCCCAAACUCCUCGUUGUGUCGGACCCCCAAUUCAUAGUGACAUAAAUAAGGGACUUGAACAAAGAAAAGGAAAAACAUACAGACGAACAAUGCACCGCCAUGCAGGAAAUGAGAAGAGAUGACGUGACCAGCACUCGCCAAGCUCCGGGCUUUCUUCGAUCGUCGUGGACACCCACGAACACUCACGGGGACCCUCGGGGGUCCGCGGAUCACACUUUGGGAACCACUGC
Molecule: long non-coding RNA, 284 nt
Organism: Ornithodoros turicata
Lineage: Eukaryota; Metazoa; Arthropoda; Arachnida; Ixodida; Argasidae
Exons: 3
Source: RefSeq, a predicted model, not a curated record